RNAcentral lists this ribosomal RNA (424 nucleotides) under uncultured prokaryote. RNAcentral's name for it is "bacterial SSU rRNA". It matches the Rfam family "Bacterial small subunit ribosomal RNA", at positions 355 to 796 of the family's 1533-position model. The record is from RNAcentral.
UGGGGAAUAUUGGACAAUGGGGGAAACCCUGAUCCAGCAAUGCCGCGUGAGUGAUGAGGGCCUUAGGGUUGUAAAGCUCUUUUACCAGGGAUGAUAAUGACAGUACCUGGAGAAUAAGCUCCGGCUAACUCCGUGCCAGCAGCCGCGGUAAUACGGAGGGAGCUAGCGUUGUUCGGAAUUACUGGGCGUAAAGCGCGCGUAGGCGGUUACUCAAGUCAGGGGUGAAAUCCCGGAGCUCAACUCCGGAACUGCCCUUGAAACUAGGUGACUAGAAUCUUGGAGAGGCGAGUGGAAUUCCGAGUGUAGAGGUGAAAUUCGUAGAUAUUGGGAAGAACACCGGUGGCGAAGGCGGUCACCUGGUCCGCAACUGACGCUGAGGCGCGAAAGCGUGGGGAGCAAACAGGAUUAGAUACCCCCGUAGUCC